AGCUGCUUAACCGAUGCUUUGGCGCUUUAGCUGUAUGAUAGAUUUAAAUACUUCAUAAAGCUAGAUUACCAAAGCAUUGGCUUCCGCAGGC
Molecule: microRNA precursor, 91 nt
Filed under: Drosophila ananassae
Lineage: Eukaryota; Metazoa; Arthropoda; Insecta; Diptera; Drosophilidae
Description: microRNA dan-mir-79 precursor
Gene: dan-mir-79
Rfam family: mir-9/mir-79 microRNA precursor family (bases 7-84)
About the family: The mature ~21nt miRNAs are processed from hairpin precursor sequences represented here. miR-9 is processed from the 5' arm of its precursor, and miR-79 from the 3' arm. The bounds of the precursors are predicted based on conservation and base pairing and are not generally known.
Source: miRBase by way of RNAcentral